GGAAAGCGAACUCCAUUCAAAAUCCAUUACCAGGAACUUCAGCCAGCCUCAAGCAGUCAUCUGUAAUGCAGCUAAACCAAGCCUGACCUUGGAAGAUCAAAAAAGAAGAGGCUGCAUGUCAAGAGAAGAGAGAAGAGGUGGCGUGUGUAACGGCGAGUUCCUGUCCUUCACCUCUUGGGGAGUUU
This is a long non-coding RNA of Melopsittacus undulatus (budgerigar), 185 nucleotides long. RefSeq lists it as uncharacterized. NCBI's taxonomy places the organism in Eukaryota, Metazoa, Chordata, Aves, Psittaciformes, Psittaculidae. The transcript is spliced from 3 exons. The record is from RefSeq and is a predicted model, not a curated record.